This 1617-nucleotide long non-coding RNA is filed under the name Sorghum bicolor (sorghum). RNAcentral describes it as "long non-coding RNA (SBIC_LNC003117)". The record is from RNAcentral. Lineage: Eukaryota; Viridiplantae; Streptophyta; Magnoliopsida; Poales; Poaceae.
GAUUAGACCUUGAGGCAAUGCAUCUUAGUUAUCUAUCUUUAAAUUCGGUUUAGGUUUACUAUUAUCGUCAGUUUGUUACUAUUAUCGUCAGUUUGCUACUAGUCAUUUGUAAUAAAUGCCUCAAGAUUAAUAAAGAGUAUUAUUAUUAUGUCUUGUGUGUCUCUACUUUAUUUUUGUGCAAGAAAGCAGAAAACAAGUAUGGGGGAGAUCCCUCGACAUGCCGAACACACUUCGACUACACCACUCCACAAUUCAGGUACACACUCUGCACACUUUAGACAUACACAUAUCUUGGAUUAUGCAGAAUAUUGUUUCCGACAUGGUAAAUUAAAAAGAUUAAAAUGUUACUAAUCAUGAUAUCUCCUGGAAACUACAAAUUAUUGAAAAAAUCAUUUUAAAACCAUGUGUUACUUUAGUCAUUGUGGAAUGGUAGAGUAUGAGUUUCUUAUUAUUGAUAUCAUUGUUGCUUGGAGAAUUUAUUUCAAAAUCUUCAAAUUCUAGCUACCAUCCUCAGUGUUUUAUAUGCCUAAUAAAACUAAAAAUAUUAAUUAUGAUUAUAAAAGCUAUCUACUCUGUAUUAAGUUUGUUCAAACUGAGUUAGACCCUUGUUGAGAGAUUUAUCAUGCUCCUAAGAUCAAGACAUCUAUUCAGAAAGAUUCACUCUUCCGAAGUAUUAUUGCAUUAGAGGCAUGGGCUAUGCAAAAAUAAAGAUAUUUUGAGGAAAUAGAAAGGAGCAAGUGCUCGAUAACCUCGCAGAAAAAAUGGACAAGUGUCCAAUAGUAGAAUUAGGGGUACCUCGGUAUCCACUUAAAAAAAGAAAUAUAAAAGAAAGAAAAAAAUAGCCCACAGUCCCUCUAAUAAGCAAUAUGCCAGCAAGAGAUGACAAAGAUUUUAAUGUCCAAAGUCUUUGAUCUAAGAGUAUGACAUUCCCCUCCUCGGAUCCCGUUUUGAUCAGGCAAUAAAUGUAAAGUAAGUAUGCUCGAAAAUUUUUGCAAAUUAAAACAGCCUCAGUGAGAAAUAUAGAAGAUAAUGAGUGAUCUGAGAGAACCUAUGAGGAUAAAAGGUAUGCUAACUUUGUUUUCAAAAAUAUACAAAAACUCCAAGUGACAGGAUUAAGAAGAAAGGAUCUUUACUCUUAACCAUAAACUUCCCUGACUAUAGUACACAGUGGAUUUUAACACUCUGCAGGUAUGAAGAGAAUGUUUUAAAAAUGUUUUACCCCAGAUAUUGUUCUUAACCAUCCUUUUCUCGAGGACGAGUAAAAGCCUAAGUAUGGGGGUAUUUGUUGACGGUUCUUAAGUAUCAAUUCUAAUUAUCAAAUAAACAAUAGAAAGGACCAAUAUGCAAACAACACCUAGAGUUAGGGUUUGAUCUGACAGAAUUCCACGAGUUUUGUUGUUUAUCUGUUUCUGCAGGGGGUUAUCGGGAAAUAAGGAAGAAAGGCCCACAUGUCGGGAUUACAUAGAGAUAUCAACGCACCGCGCAAUUUUCUACCAUCUAGAAGACUCCAGAAGCCACGGGAAGGAAGCGGAGGCCGAACGGGGCCAGGCACUGGGCGCCGGCCCAGUUGACCUGGGCGCCCGCCCCCUCCUGGACUUGGUUUGGGACUCUUUUCGC